Molecule: ribosomal RNA, 253 nt
Filed under: uncultured bacterium
Lineage: Bacteria
Description: partial small subunit ribosomal RNA
Rfam family: Bacterial small subunit ribosomal RNA
Source: RNAcentral
AGGACGAACGCUGGCGGCGCGCCUAAUACAUGCAAGUCGAGCGACAAACUCGGGGCUUGCCCCGGGUGGACAGCGGCGAACGGGUGAGGAACACGUGAGAAACCUGCCCCGAAGACCGGGAUAACACCGGGAAACCGGUGCUAAUACCGGAUGCCCUCACCGGAUCGCAUGAUCCGGUGAGGAAAUGGAUUCCGCUUCGGGAUGGUCUCGCGGCCUAUCAGCUUGUUGGUGGGUAACGCCUACCAAGGCUUCG